GUUGGCCUCAGAUCAGGGAGGAUCACCC
This 28-nucleotide small RNA is filed under the name Bombyx mori (domestic silkworm). RNAcentral describes it as "ovarian small RNA-17988". The record is from RNAcentral. Lineage: Eukaryota; Metazoa; Arthropoda; Insecta; Lepidoptera; Bombycidae.